Molecule: long non-coding RNA, 797 nt
Filed under: Brassica rapa (field mustard)
Lineage: Eukaryota; Viridiplantae; Streptophyta; Magnoliopsida; Brassicales; Brassicaceae
Description: long non-coding RNA (BRAP_LNC001910)
Source: RNAcentral
AAAAAGUUAGGCUUUGAAUGGUGACAAAGGAACGAAAGGGAACACUUAAUUCUUUAUCAUUCUAAAAAAAAAUCACCAUUCACAAGGAAUAGUUUUUCCUUCUUGUUCCUUUCCAUUCCUUUUUUUUGUAGAGAAAUAUAAAACAAAAGCAUUCCUUGUUAAAUUUAAUAAGGAGCAAACAUUCAUUUUUAUUCCUAUACGUUCAUUUUCUAUUCGUUCCUCGUAUUCCCGAAAAGGUCACUAGUCGGUGCCAUAGUACAUCUACAUCAUUUUCUGUACAUUUAUCGUGCCAUGUAUUUGAACGCAAGCAUAUAACUUGUAAGUAAAAAAAAAAACAAUUUAUGAAUUAUCAUAGAUGACUGUCAGUAUUUUUUUUUAUCAAAAAUGACUGUCAUUAUAUAAACUAGUUACAAUGUUUUAAAAUUGUACUACAAUAAUCUGAAAUUAGUUUUGAUUUAUAGUUUUUUUUUUGUUAUAACCCAUAACGUCAAAUAUCGUGCGGUAAUAGCUGAUUUUUUUUUUUGGUAAUAGCUGAGUUUUUUUUUUUUAAGUUUGUUAAAUAACAUAUAAGACUUAUAAAUCAACACCUCCAGUUUAUAUUACUCAAAUGUGCUAUAUAUGUCAAUGAGGAUGAACAGAGAGAAGCUAAUGGGAUGUAUUCAAUUUUGAGUGUGAAAUGAUUUGAUUUUUAGCGAGUUUUUAGAUGAUUUUAUAAAAGUUGGAGUGUUCAAAAUAGUUUUUGUUAAACCAUUCUAGAAUUUGACCUAAAACCAUGAUAUUUAGAUUUUAGUUUUUUU